This 478-nucleotide ribosomal RNA is filed under the name uncultured bacterium. Its description in RNAcentral is "bacterial SSU rRNA". It matches the Rfam family "Bacterial small subunit ribosomal RNA", at positions 28 to 507 of the family's 1533-position model. The record is from RNAcentral.
GAUGAACGCUGGCGGCGUGCUUAACACAUGCAAGUCGAACGGGAAAUACUUUAUUGAAACUUUGGUGGAUUUAAUUUAUUUCUAGUGGCGGACGGGUGAGUAACGCGUGGGUAACCUGCCUUAUACUGGGGGAUAACAGCCAGAAAUGACUGCUAAUACCGCAUAAGCGCACAGAACCGCAUGGUUCCGUGUGAAAAACUCCGGUGGUAUAAGAUGGACCCGCGUUGGAUUAGCUAGUUGGCAGGGCAGCGGCCUACCAAGGCGACGAUCCAUAGCCGGCCUGAGAGGGUGAACGGCCACAUUGGGACUGAGACACGGCCCAGACUCCUACGGGAGGCAGCAGUGGGGAAUAUUGCACAAUGGGGGAAACCCUGAUGCAGCGACGCCGCGUGAAGGAAGAAGUAUCUCGGUAUGUAAACUUCUAUCAGCAGGGAAGAUAAUGACGGUACCUGACUAAGAAGCCCCGGCUAACUACGUG